Molecule: ribosomal RNA, 781 nt
Filed under: uncultured archaeon
Lineage: Archaea
Description: bacterial SSU rRNA
Rfam family: Archaeal small subunit ribosomal RNA
Source: RNAcentral
GAAUUGCAGCGGUUCACCCCGGGAACUGGGGCUAAUCCCAGAUAGAUGAGGACCCCUGGAAUGGGUUUUCGUCCAAAAGGCAUCAUGGUUAUGCUCUGUGGUGUCGCUCAAGGAUGGGGCCGCGUCCGAUCAGGCUGUUGGUGAGGUAAUGGCUCACCAAACCUUUAACCGGUACGGGCCGUGGGAGCGGGAGCCCGGAGAUGGGAACUGAGACAAGGUCCCAGGCCCUACGGGGCGCAGCAGUUACGAAAACUUGUCAAUGCACGAAAGUGUGAACGGGCUACCCCGAGUGCCGUCCGCUGAGGAUGGCUUUUCUCUGCUGUAAGAAGGCAGAGGAAUAAGGCGAGGGCAAGUCUGGUGUCAGCCGCCGCGGUAAUACCAGCUCGCCGAGUGGUAGGGAUGAUUAUUGGGCCUGAAGCGUCCGUAGCUGGCCUUUCAAGUCUCUUGUUAAAUCCAACGAUUCAAUCGCUGGACUGCAGGAGAUACUGCAAGGCUAGGAGGCGAGAGAAGCCGACGGUAUUUUCGGGGUAGGGGUAAAAUCCUAUAAUCCCGAGAAGACCACCAGUGGCGAAGGCGGUCGGCUAGCGCGCGCUCGACAGUGAGGGACGAAAGCUGGGGGAGCGAACCGGAUUAGAUACCCGGGUAGUCCCAGCUGUAAACGAUGCUGGCUAGGUGUUGAAGCGGCCACGAGCCGCUUCAGUGCCGCAGGAAAGCCAUUAAGCCAGCCGCCUGGGGAGUACGGCCGCAAGGCUGAAACUUAAAGGAAUUGGCGGGGGAGCAC